This 406-nucleotide ribosomal RNA is filed under the name uncultured bacterium. RNAcentral's name for it is "partial 16S ribosomal RNA". It matches the Rfam family "Bacterial small subunit ribosomal RNA", at positions 29 to 526 of the family's 1533-position model. The record is from RNAcentral.
AUUGAACGCUGGCGGCAGGCCUAACACAUGCAAGUCGAACGAGUGGCGGACGGGUGAGUAAUGUCUGGGAAACUGCCCGAUGGAGGGGGAUAACUACUGGAAACGGUAGCUAAUACCGCAUACCAUCGGAUGUGCCCAGAUGGGAUUAGCUAGUGGGUGGGGUAAUGGCUCACCUAGGCGACGAUCCCUAGCUGGUCUGAGAGGAUGACCAGCCAAACUGGAACUGGGACACGGUCCAGCCUCCUACGGGAGACAGGAGGGGGGAGUGUUGCAAAAUGGGCGCAAGCCUGCUGCAGCCAGGCCGCGUGUAUAAGGAAGGCCUUGGGGUUGUAAAGUACUUUCAGCGAGGAGGCGUUACUCGCAGAGGAAGCACCGGCUAACUCCGUGCCAGCAGCCGCGGUAAUAC